GACGAACGCUGGCGGCGUGCCUAAUACAUGCAAGUAGAACGCUGAAGGAGGAGCUUGCUCUUCUGGAUGAGUUGCGAACGGGUGAGUAACGCGUAGGUAACCUGCCUGGUAGCGGGGGAUAACUAUUGGAAACGAUAGCUAAUACCGCAUAAGAGUAGAUGUUGCAUGACAUUUGCUUAAAAGGUGCAAUUGCAUCACUACCAGAUGGACCUGCGUUGUAUUAGCUAGUUGGUGGGGUAACGGCUCACCAAGGCGACGAUACAUAGCCGACCUGAGAGGGGGAUCGGCCACACUGGGACGGAGACACGGCCCAGACUCCUACGGGAGGCAGCAGUAGGGAAUCUUCGGCAAUGGACGGAAGUCUGACCGAGCAACGCCGCGUGAGUGAAGAAGGUUGUCGGAUCGUAAAGCUCUGUUGUAAGAGAAGAACGAGUGUGAGAGUGGAAAGUUCACACUGUGACGGUAUCUUAACAGAAAGGGACGGCUAACUACGUG
RNAcentral lists this ribosomal RNA (495 nucleotides) under uncultured bacterium. RNAcentral describes it as "partial 16S ribosomal RNA". It matches the Rfam family "Bacterial small subunit ribosomal RNA", at positions 28 to 507 of the family's 1533-position model. The record is from RNAcentral.